RNAcentral lists this antisense RNA (75 nucleotides) under Streptomyces varsoviensis. RNAcentral describes it as "ASpks sRNA". It matches the Rfam family "ASpks TB sRNA". The record is from RNAcentral. Lineage: Bacteria; Bacillati; Actinomycetota; Actinomycetes; Kitasatosporales; Streptomycetaceae.
CUUCAGCGACCCGACGAGCAACGGGCGUUCCGCGGGCCGGUCCUGACCGUAUGUCGCGAGGAGCGCCUGGGCCUC